This 429-nucleotide ribosomal RNA is filed under the name Gemmatimonadota bacterium. RNAcentral describes it as "Gemmatimonadetes bacterium partial 16S ribosomal RNA". It matches the Rfam family "Bacterial small subunit ribosomal RNA", at positions 355 to 776 of the family's 1533-position model. Lineage: Bacteria; Pseudomonadati; Gemmatimonadota. The record is from RNAcentral.
UAGGGAAUCUUCGGCAAUGGACGAAAGUCUGACCGAGCAACGCCGCGUGAGUGAAGAAGGUUUUCGGAUCGUAAAACUCUGUUGUUAGAGAAGAACAAGGACGUUAGUAACUGAACGUCCCCUGACGGUAUCUAACCAGAAAGCCACGGCUAACUACGUGCCAGCAGCCGCGGUAAUACGUAGGUGGCAAGCGUUGUCCGGAUUUAUUGGGCGUAAAGCGAGCGCAGGCGGUUUCUUAAGUCUGAUGUGAAAGCCCCCGGCUCAACCGGGGAGGGUCAUUGGAAACUGGGAGACUUGAGUGCAGAAGAGGAGAGUGGAAUUACAUGUGUGGCGGUGAAAUGCGUAGAUAUAUGGAGGAACACCAGGGGCGAAGGGGGCUCUCUGGUCUGUAACUGACGCUGAGGAUCGAAAGCGGGGGGAGCAAACAGG